RNAcentral lists this ribosomal RNA (394 nucleotides) under uncultured bacterium. RNAcentral's name for it is "bacterial SSU rRNA". It matches the Rfam family "Bacterial small subunit ribosomal RNA", at positions 362 to 771 of the family's 1533-position model. The record is from RNAcentral.
UAUUGCACAAUGGGGGAAACCCUGAUGCAGCAACGCCGCGUGAAGGAAGAAGGCUUUCGGGUUGUAAACUUCUUUUGUCAGGGAACAGUAGAAGAGGGUACUUGACGAAUAAGCCACGGCUAACUACGUGCCAGCAGCCGCGGUAAUACGUAGGUGGCAAGCGUUGUCCGGAUUUACUGGGUGUAAAGGGCGUGCAGCCGGGCUGGUAAGUCAGAUGUGAAAUCUGGAGGCUCAACCUCCAAACUGCAUUUGAAACUGCUGGUCUUGAGUACCGGAGAGGUUAUCGGAAUUCCUUGUGUAGCGGUGAAAUGCGUAGAUAUAAGGAAGAACACCAGUGGCGAAGGCGGAUAACUGGACGGCAACUGACGGUGAGGCGCGAAAGCGUGGGGAGCAA